RNAcentral lists this ribosomal RNA (443 nucleotides) under uncultured bacterium. Its description in RNAcentral is "partial 16S ribosomal RNA". It matches the Rfam family "Bacterial small subunit ribosomal RNA", at positions 338 to 795 of the family's 1533-position model. The record is from RNAcentral.
CCUACGGGGGGCAGCAGUGGGGAAUAUUGGGCAAUGGAGGCAACUCUGACCCAGCAACGCCGCGUGAAUGAUGAAGGCCUUCGGAUUGUAAAGCUCCUUUAUUGGGGAUGAACACAAUGACGGUACCCCAAUAGCAAGCCACGGCUAACUACGUGCCAGCAGCCGCGGUAAUACGUAGGUGGCAAGCGUUAUCCGGAAGGACGGGGGGUAAAGGGUGCGUAGGUGGUUUAGUAAGUUGGCGGUGUAAUUCCGGGGCUCAACCUCGGCGCUACCGCCAAGACUAUUUGGCUAGAGUGCAGGAGAGGUAAGUGGAAUGCGUAGUGUAGCGGUGGAAUGCGUAGAUAUUAGGAAGAACAUCGAGGGCGAAGGCGGCUUACUGAACUGUAACUGACACUGAGGCACGAAAGCGUGGGGAGCAAACAGGAUUAGAUACCCUGGUAGUC